Clostridium sp. CAG:1024 is the source of this 99-nucleotide regulatory RNA element. It matches the Rfam family "THF (Tetrahydrofolate) riboswitch aptamer". Rfam says of the family: THF riboswitch presents a pseudoknot that joins P1-P2 and the loop of P3 and two THF binding. Lineage: Bacteria; Bacillati; Bacillota; Clostridia; Eubacteriales; Clostridiaceae. The record is from Rfam.
GGUAGAGUAAGUAUUGCGCGUUAAGUGGCAAGAGGCUGGGAAGUCGCCCUUGCACGAAGGACGGGAAGUCGCCCACGAUGUAAUGCUGCAUCCGCUACC